RNAcentral lists this ribosomal RNA (497 nucleotides) under uncultured bacterium. RNAcentral's name for it is "partial 16S ribosomal RNA". It matches the Rfam family "Bacterial small subunit ribosomal RNA", at positions 28 to 507 of the family's 1533-position model. The record is from RNAcentral.
GAUGAACGCUGGCGGCGUGCCUAAUACAUGCAAGUCGAGCGAACAGAUGAUGAGCUUGCUCCUCUGACGUUAGCGGCGGACGGGUGAGUAACACGUGGAUAACCUACCUAUAAUACUGGGAUAACUACGGGAAACCGGAGCUAAUACCGGAUAAUAUAUUGAACCGCAUGGUUCAAUAGUGAAAGACGGUUUUGCUGUCACUUAUAGAUGGAUCCGCGUCGGAUUAGCUAGUUGGUAGGGUAACGGCUCACCAAGGCGACGAUGCGUAGCUGACCUGAGAGGAUGAGAAGCCACACUGGAACUGAGACACGGUCCAGACUCCUACGGGAGGAAGCAGUGGGGAAGAUUGGACAAUGGGCGCAAGCCUGAUCCAGCCAUACCGCGUGGGUGAAGAAGGUCUUCGGGUUGUAAAGCCCUUUUGGUGGGAAAGAAAAGAAGCAGGUUAAUACCCCGCUGUUCUGACGGUACCCAAAGAAUAAGCACCGGCUAACUUCGUG